Molecule: ribosomal RNA, 1321 nt
Filed under: metagenome
Description: bacterial LSU rRNA
Rfam family: Bacterial large subunit ribosomal RNA
Source: RNAcentral
AGUGGAUGGGGAGCAACCUAGUUGUGCGUGUGUAAAGGUAGUGCCAAGAAAAGCGGUGAUCAUGAUGAAAAUCAAUUCCCGGUACCCGAAACCGACACAGGUGGGCAAGUAGAGAAUACUAAGGGGCGCGAGGUAACUCUCUCCAAGGAACUCGGCAAAAUGACCCCGUAACUUAGGGAGAAGGGGUGCCACCGAGAGGUGGUCGCAGUGAAGAGGCCCAGGCGACUGUUUAGCAAAAACAUAGGUCUCUGCAAACUCGAAAGAGGAGGUAUAGGGGCUGACGCCUGCCCAGUGCCGGAAGGUUAAAGAAGUUGGUCAGUCUUAGGAUAAAGCUAGCGACUGAAGCCCCGGUGAACGGCGGCCGUAACUAUAACGGUCCUAAGGUAGCGAAAUUCCUUGUCGGGUAAGUUCCGACCCGCACGAAAGGCGUAACGAUCUGGGCGCUGUCUCGGAGAGAGGCUCGGCGAAAUAGGAUUGUCUGUGAAGAUACGGACUACCUGCAUUUGGACAGAAAGACCCUAUGAAGCUUUACUAUAGCUUGGAAUUGUGUUCGGGCUUCCUGUGCGCAGGAUAGGUGGGAGGCGAAGAAGGUAUUCUUGUGGGGAUACUGGAGCCAACGGUGAGAUACCACUCUCAGGAGGCUAGAAUUCUAACUUAAUUAAGGACAGUUUUAGGUGGGUAGUUUGACUGGGGCGGUCGCCUCCAAAAAGGUAACGGAGGCGUACAAAGGUUCCCUCAGACUGGUUGGAAAUCAGUCGCAGAGUGCAAAGGCAGAAGGGAGCUUGACUGCGAGAAGUACAGUUCGAGCAGGGUGGAAACACGGUCUUAGUGAUCCGACGGUGCUGUGUGGAAGGGCCGUCGCUCAACGGAUAAAAGUUACUCUAGGAUAACAGGCUGAUCUCCCCCAAGAGUUCACAUCGACGGGGAGGUUUGGCACCUCGAUGUCGGCUCAUCGCAACCUGGGGCGGAAGUACGUCCCAAGGGUUGGGCUGUUCGCCCAUUAAAGCGGUACGUGAGCUGGGUUCAGAACGUCGUGAGACAGUUCGGUCCAUAUCCGAUGUAGGCGUGAGAAUAUUGAGAGGAGCCUUCCUUAGUACGAGAGGACCGGGAAGGACGCACCGCUGGUGUACCUGUUAUGAUGCCAAUUGUAAACGCAGGGUAGCCAAGUGCGGAGAGGAUAACCGCUGAAAGCAUCUAAGUGGGAAGCCCACCUCAAGAUGAGUAUUCUGGUGUGAGGUCACGGGAAGACGACCCGUAAAUAGGCACGAGGUGGAAGUGCAGAGAUGUAUGAAGCCGAAGUGUACUAAUAGACCGUCGGCUU